Molecule: transfer RNA, 74 nt
Filed under: Gammaproteobacteria bacterium
Lineage: Bacteria; Pseudomonadati; Pseudomonadota; Gammaproteobacteria
Also listed under: 1 other name
Description: tRNA-Arg
Rfam family: tRNA
About the family: Transfer RNA (tRNA) molecules are approximately 80 nucleotides in length. Their secondary structure includes four short double-helical elements and three loops (D, anti-codon, and T loops).
Source: RNAcentral
GCGUCCGUAGCUCAUCUGGAUAGAGCGCAACCCUCCGGAGGUUGAGGCAAGAGGUUCGAGUCCUCUCGGGCGCA